GAUGAACGCUAGCUACAGGCUUAACACAUGCAAGUCGAGGGGUAACGAGAGGGAAGCUUGCUUUCCUUGUCGACGACCGGCGCACGGGUGAGUAACGCGUAUCCAACCUGCCCCCAACUAGGGAAUAACCUUGCGAAAGUAAGACUAAUACCCUAUAAUUUCCUCAGAUGUCAUCUGACGAGGAAUAAAGAUUUAUCGGUUGUGGAUGGGGAUGCGUCUGAUUAGCUUGUUGGCGGGGUUACGGCCCACCAAGGCAACGAUCAGUAGGGGCUCUGAGAGGAAGGGCCCCCACAUUGGAACUGAGACACGGUCCAAACUCCUACGGGAGGCAGCAGUGAGGAAUAUUGGUCAAUGGGCGGAAGCCUGAACCAGCCAAGUAGCGUGCAGGAUGACGGCCCUAUGGGUUGUAAACUGCUUUUAUACAGGAAUAAAGUUAGCCACGUGUGGUUAUUUGUAGGUACUGUAUGAAUAAGGACCGGCUAACUCCGUGCCAGCCGCCGCCGUAA
RNAcentral lists this ribosomal RNA (506 nucleotides) under uncultured bacterium. RNAcentral describes it as "partial 16S ribosomal RNA". It matches the Rfam family "Bacterial small subunit ribosomal RNA", at positions 28 to 523 of the family's 1533-position model. The record is from RNAcentral.